This 346-nucleotide transfer-messenger RNA is filed under the name Oscillospiraceae. RNAcentral describes it as "Galloscillospira_A excrementavium Standard tmRNA". It matches the Rfam family "transfer-messenger RNA". Rfam says of the family: Bacterial tmRNA, also known as 10Sa RNA or SsrA, is named for its dual tRNA and mRNA-like properties. Its role is to liberate the mRNA from a stalled ribosome. To accomplish this part of the tmRNA is used as a reading frame that ends in a translation stop signal. The record is from RNAcentral. Lineage: Bacteria; Bacillati; Bacillota; Clostridia; Eubacteriales. RNAcentral also lists the same sequence under 2 other names.
GGGGCUGCACUGGUUUCGACGGGGGUGUGGAGGCGGGAAUAGCGGGCGGAUGCGCCCAGCAUCCCAAAAAUGGGCAACUUAUAAAUUAAAGAACGACGAUAACGUAGUUCUCGCCGCUGCUUAAUGCGGCCGUCCGACCGGACAGGGCCACGGGUCCGGAUCGGGCGUGACUGAGUGGCGUCCGUGCGUGCGCAAAGCUUUGAGCGCACCAUGCACAAUGAAGCUACCAAGCCCCUGAGUGUGACGGCUCACGCCUGGGUGAGGGAAUGUAAAUAACCGUCUGCGCCCGGAGAAGUUCCCGUCAAAGCGCUUUCGGACAGGGGUUCGAUUCCCCUCAGCUCCACCA